AUGUUGCUCUCAGCCUCAGUGAACUCCAUCUCGUCCAUGCCUUCACCAGUGUACCAAUGCAAGAAAGCCUUCCUCCUGAACAUGGCAGUGAACUGCUCGCUCACCCUCCGGAACAUCUCCUGGAUGGAGGUCGAGUUGCCAACGAAGGUGGACGCCAUGGAGAGCCCUGUCGGUGGGAUGUCACAGACGCUGGACUUGACAUUGUUGGGGAUCCACUCCACAAAGUAG
Molecule: ribosomal RNA, 228 nt
Filed under: Triticum aestivum (bread wheat)
Lineage: Eukaryota; Viridiplantae; Streptophyta; Magnoliopsida; Poales; Poaceae
Description: partial small subunit ribosomal RNA
Source: RNAcentral